Molecule: ribosomal RNA, 253 nt
Filed under: uncultured bacterium
Lineage: Bacteria
Description: partial 16S ribosomal RNA
Rfam family: Bacterial small subunit ribosomal RNA
Source: RNAcentral
UACGUAGGGGGCGAGCAUUGUCCGGAGUUACUGGGCGUAAAGGGCAUGCAGGCGGUCGGACGCGUUUCGGGUGACAGCGGGUGGCUUAACUACCCGAGUGGUCGAAAGACGGUUUGACUUGAGGACGCGAGAGGGACACGGAAUUCCGGGUGGAGUGGUGAAAUGCGUAGAGAUCCGGAGGAACACCGAAGGCGAAGGCAGUGUCCUGGCGCGUAACUGACGCUGAGGUGCGAAAGCCAGGGGAGCGAACGGG